RNAcentral lists this transfer-messenger RNA (402 nucleotides) under Coxiellaceae. Its description in RNAcentral is "2-12-FULL-42-15 sp001797285 X1 Standard tmRNA". It matches the Rfam family "transfer-messenger RNA". Rfam says of the family: Bacterial tmRNA, also known as 10Sa RNA or SsrA, is named for its dual tRNA and mRNA-like properties. Its role is to liberate the mRNA from a stalled ribosome. The record is from RNAcentral. Lineage: Bacteria; Pseudomonadati; Pseudomonadota; Gammaproteobacteria; Legionellales. RNAcentral also lists the same sequence under 1 other name.
GGGGGCGACCUGGCUUCGACGUGGGUUACUGCACUUGAGGUGCGUGUCGAGCAUGCAAUAAGCUCGUAAAUCUCGUUGCAAACUAUAGCUGCAAACGAUAACAGCUAUUCUGCUGAUCAAGACCUCGCAAUCGCUGCCUAGUCAGUGCUUGCAGUCGCGAUAGCCGCCUAAGAAACGGCAACAGCCUGGUUGAUUGAUCCGCCUAUAGGUUGAUUAAACCAGUCAGAACAUGUGGGCUGGCCUUGCCAUAUGGCUCGUAUGGUAGAGCAAGAUUCUGAGCUCGCCUGCUUAUUUCCCUGCCUGUUGGGGGUAAGAGGGGUUAAAUUAAAAAACAAGGCUACACACGUAGUACCAAGAGGAAUGAAUUAACGGACGCGGGUUCAAUUCCCGCCGCCUCCACCA